UACGGAGGAUGCGAGCGUUAUCCGGAUUUAUUGGGUUUAAAGGGUGCGUAGGCGGCGAGUUAAGUCAGCGGUAAAAGCCCGGGGCUCAACCCCGGCCCGCCGUUGAAACUGGCUGGCUUGAGUUGGGGAAAGGCAGGCGGAAUGCGUGGUGUAGCGGUGAAAUGCAUAGAUAUCACGCAGAACCCCGAUUGCGAAGGCAGCAUACCGGCGCCCAACUGACGCUGAGGCACGAAAGCGUGGGGAGCAAAUAGG
This 252-nucleotide ribosomal RNA is filed under the name uncultured Bacteroidales bacterium. RNAcentral describes it as "partial 16S ribosomal RNA". It matches the Rfam family "Bacterial small subunit ribosomal RNA", at positions 524 to 776 of the family's 1533-position model. Lineage: Bacteria; Pseudomonadati; Bacteroidota; Bacteroidia; Bacteroidales. The record is from RNAcentral.